Molecule: small nucleolar RNA, 138 nt
Organism: Pteronotus mesoamericanus
Lineage: Eukaryota; Metazoa; Chordata; Mammalia; Chiroptera; Mormoopidae
Product: small nucleolar RNA SNORA8
Exons: 1
Source: RefSeq, a predicted model, not a curated record
UGCACUGAAUGGUAUCUGCAUUUUGCAUUUUAUUCCUGUUGGGUGUUCAAAGGACAACGUGAUAUAAAUUCAGUAUCUAGUGUCAUUGGCUUUCUUAGUUUCAUGCAUGUUAAACUUGGCAUUUUUAUUACUGUAGUA